AGAGGGUGCGAGCGUUAAUCGGAAUUACUGGGCGUAAAGCGAGUGUAGGUGGCUCAUUAAGUCACAUGUGAAAUCCCCGGGCUUAACCUGGGAACUGCAUGUGAUACUGGUGGUGCUAGAAUAUGUGAGAGGGAAGUAGAAUUCCAGGUGUAGCGGUGAAAUGCGUAGAGAUCUGGAGGAAUACCGAUGGCGAAGGCAGCUUCCUGGCACAAUAUUGACACUGAGAUUCGAAAGCGUGGGUAGCAAACAGGAUUAGAUACCCUGGUAGUCCCACGCCCGUAAACGAUGUCUACUAGCCGUUGGGGUCCUUGAGACUUUAGUGGCGCAGUCAACGCGAUAAGUAGACCGCCUGGGGAGUACGGCCGCAAGGUUA
Molecule: ribosomal RNA, 373 nt
Filed under: uncultured organism
Description: partial 16S ribosomal RNA
Rfam family: Bacterial small subunit ribosomal RNA
Source: RNAcentral